This 235-nucleotide long non-coding RNA is filed under the name Elaeis guineensis (African oil palm). RNAcentral describes it as "long non-coding RNA (EGUI_LNC019467)". Lineage: Eukaryota; Viridiplantae; Streptophyta; Magnoliopsida; Arecales; Arecaceae. The record is from RNAcentral.
UAGUCUAUUUUGUAGGUAAUUGAGAGUUUGGAUUUAUACGAUUUAAACGAACUCAAAUCAGAUCAGAUUUGAGUGAACCAGACAACCAGCUCCCAUUCCAAUGUGAACGUGAUUUAAAGAUCAAGAAUCAAGAAGCAAUCUCUCCAAUCAAAGGUCCAAAUUAGAAGAUAAAUGAAACUAAGUGUGAACACGACUUAAAUCUCAAGGGCUUAGAUUAAAAGAUCACUCUUCAUGA